GAUGAACGCUGGCGGCGUGCCUAAUACAUGCAAGUCGAGCGAACAGACGAGGAGCUUGCUCCUCUGACGUUAGCGGCGGACGGGUGAGUAACACGUGGAUAACCUACCUAUAAGACUGGGAUAACUUCGGGAAACCGGAGCUAAUACCGGAUAAUAUAUUGAACCGCAUGGUUCAAUAGUGAAAGAUGGUUUUGCUGUCACUUAUAGAUGGAUCCGCGCCGCAUUAGCUAGUUGGUAAGGUAACGGCUUACCAAGGCGACGAUGCGUAGCCGACCUGAGAGGGUGAUCAGCCACACUGGAACUGAGACACGGUCCAGACUCCUACGGGAGGCAGCAGUAGGGAAUCUUCCGCAAUGGGCGAAAGCCUGACGGAGCAACGCCGCGUGAGUGAUGAAGGUCUUCGGAUCGUAAAACUCUGUUAUUAGGGAAGAACAAAUGUGUAAGUAACUAUGCACGUCUUGACGGUACCUAAUCAGAAAGCCACGGCUAACUACGAG
This 497-nucleotide ribosomal RNA is filed under the name uncultured bacterium. RNAcentral's name for it is "partial 16S ribosomal RNA". It matches the Rfam family "Bacterial small subunit ribosomal RNA", at positions 28 to 507 of the family's 1533-position model. The record is from RNAcentral.